This 253-nucleotide ribosomal RNA is filed under the name uncultured bacterium. RNAcentral describes it as "partial 16S ribosomal RNA". It matches the Rfam family "Bacterial small subunit ribosomal RNA", at positions 524 to 776 of the family's 1533-position model. The record is from RNAcentral.
UACGUAGGGAGCAAGCGUUGUCCGGAAUCAUUGGGCGUAAAGCGCGCGUAGGUGGCCUCAUAAGUCCGCUGUGAAAGUCAAAGGCUCAACCUUUGAAAGCCGGUGGAUACUGUGGGGCUAGAGUACGGAAGAGGCGAGUGGAAUUCCUGGUGUAGCGGUGGAAUGCGCAGAUAUCAGGAGGAACACCAAUGGCGAAGGCAGCACUCUGGGACGUGACUGACGCUGGGACGCGAAAGCGUGGGGAGCAAACAGG